GUAAGUCGGGUCCGCUUGAUUCCCAGCUGUGAACUGCCUGCUUCUGUUUACCCUUGUGUGGCGUCUUGCGUCUGGCUUUGAUCCUGGAUUUCGGAACUGAUGCUACGUCCUCCCUUCUGAUCCUCCAGCCUAGGUUUAUUCCCCCUUGGUUUCUGACAACACAGCGCUGAGAAACAUCACUGGGUCCUCAGGGACGGAGUGGGUCCUUGGCUCUUUGUGCAAUCAGCUAUUGGGUAUAGACAAGCAGAUGCUAUCUGGCUCUGAGGCUCCAGUCUCCUCAGGUCCUCCAGGGGCUGACGACCCUUGGAAGGAGGAGCCAGAUGGAAUCAUCUCCCUGCUAUUGUCUCAGCUGUCAGCACACUAGCACAGGAACAGAUGACAGAAGCACAAGGAUAGGAUUUUAUCGGAAAAUUCACAUACCGAAAGCAUCGGGAGUGACUUUAUCAAAGGAAACAGAUAAAGGAUAAUCAUCCUUGUGAGUGAUCCUACCGAGAAUGUGGUGACUUAAUCCAUCAAGGGUUUCUGGAAUCCUGAAUUCCUAGGGCAGGUCAAUGUUACGGGCCUCAGAGGACAGAGGAAGAAAAAAUAUUG
Molecule: long non-coding RNA, 591 nt
Filed under: Equus caballus (horse)
Lineage: Eukaryota; Metazoa; Chordata; Mammalia; Perissodactyla; Equidae
Description: lncRNA (ENSECAG00000044235.1)
Source: RNAcentral